UUGUACACAGAAUAUACAAAACGUUUGUUCACCAAACAGAAGAGAUGUGAGCAGCCCCACCCCCAGCUCCUGGGACAACAGUAUGAAGUAGGGGGACCCGGGAUACUGCAUGAUCAUCCUGAGCAGAGCCAACAGGGCCACCAUCCAACCUCUGAAGUGACGGACUUAGAGCAAAGGCCAGGAAAGAGGCUGCUCCUUCCCAGGCUAUCUGAAGCUGAGAGAGGACAACCUCUCUCCACAGGAGGGCUUGGACAUGCACACAAGCAUCCUGCAAGUGAGUCUCCUCUACCUGGUUCACACUACCCAGGAGGAACAUUCUCAAUCAGCCUCCCACACCCCUACCUGCCCUCUACCCUUAACUAGACAACUCCAGUGAAGGCCACAGUCCAAGUUCUCCCAAGUUCCUGACCUUUGGCCUCUGGAGCCAUUGACCCUGGUGCUUUCCCACGUGGCCCUGAGGAGCCUCCUGCUUCUGAGACCUCUUACAGGCCCUGGGAAGCAGAUCUGCAACUGGCCCACAUGCUUGUUUCAUUAAGAAGCAAAGUAAGGACUCAGUCGAAAGACUUACCAUUUCUAUACCACUGGACCUCCGGCUGGAAGUGUUUAAUUUCAGGAGUGAUGACUACACGACAGCCCAGACUCAUCGUCUCUCCUUCUCUCCCAAAAGACACAUCAAACUUGUCAUCAAAGUGGAUCUCAAACUUGGAUGCAUAACCAUAAGGGGUCACAGCAACUGGGCACAACAGAAACAAAUACCAGUGAUAUGUCUCUCCAAAGGGAUGCACAAUUUUUAAUAAGCAUGGGCAGAAAGCAGCAGCAAAAAAAUAGACCAAAUUAUGUGGGCAAAAUCAAGUUGUACAUAAGAAAUACAUGUAUGCAUACAUCAUA
Molecule: long non-coding RNA, 888 nt
Organism: Peromyscus eremicus (cactus mouse)
Lineage: Eukaryota; Metazoa; Chordata; Mammalia; Rodentia; Cricetidae
Exons: 4
Source: RefSeq, a predicted model, not a curated record